Colossoma macropomum (tambaqui) is the source of this 134-nucleotide long non-coding RNA. RefSeq lists it as uncharacterized. The record is from RefSeq and is a predicted model, not a curated record. Lineage: Eukaryota; Metazoa; Chordata; Actinopteri; Characiformes; Serrasalmidae. The transcript has 2 exons.
GGGGAGCAGAGCAUUUGUGAGAUUUUGAGCUUUAACUGCGCUGAGAGCUCAGUCUGGAUUGCAAAACGAUCUGAAGUGUAAAGCAAAACGAUCAUCAGUUAUGUCAAUGGAAAUUUACAUUGAUGCCAGCAGUG